UACGAAGGGGGCUAGCGUUGCUCGAAAUUACUGGGCGUAAAGGGAGCGUAGGCGGACAUUUAAGUCAGGGGUGAAAUCCCAGAGCUCAACUCUGGAACUGCCUUUGAUACUGGGUGUCUUGAGUGUGAUAGAGGUAAGUGGAACUCCGAGUGUAGAGGUGAAAUUCGUAGAUAUUCGGAAGAACACCAGUGGCGAAGGCGACUUACUGGAUCAUUACUGACGCUGAGGCUCGAAAGCGUGGGGAGCAAACAGG
This 253-nucleotide ribosomal RNA is filed under the name uncultured bacterium. RNAcentral describes it as "partial 16S ribosomal RNA". It matches the Rfam family "Bacterial small subunit ribosomal RNA", at positions 524 to 776 of the family's 1533-position model. The record is from RNAcentral.